UCCCGCUUGCGGGGGUGAUUAGUGGCGAACGGGUGAGUAAUACGUGAGUAACCUGCCCUUGACUCUGGGAUAAGCCUGGGAAACCGGGUCUAAUACUGGAUACGACCUCCUGUCGCAUGGUGGGGGGUGGAAAGGGUUUGACUGGUUUUGGAUGGGCUCACGGCCUAUCAGCUUGUUGGUGGGGUAAUGGCUCACCAAGGCGACGACGGGUAGCCGGCCUGAGAGGGUGACCGGCCACACUGGGACUGAGACACGGCCCAGACUCCUACGGGAGGCAGCAGUGGGGAAUAUUGCACAAUGGGCGCAAGCCUGAUGCAGCGACGCCGCGUGAGGGAUGACGGCCUUCGGGUUGUAAACCUCUUUCAGCAGGGAAGAAGCCACAAGUGACGGUACCUGCAGAAGAAGCGCCGGCUAACUACGUGCCAGCAGCCGCGGUAAUACGUAGGGCGCAAGCGUUGUCCGGAAUUAUUGGGCGUAAAGAGCUCGUAGGCGGUUUGUCGCGUCUGCUGUGAAAGCCCGGGGCUCAACCCCGGGUCUGCAGUGGGUACGGGCAGACUAGAGUGCAGUAGGGGAGACUGGAAUUCCUGGUGUAGCGGUGAAAUGCGCAGAUAUCAGGAGGAACACCGAUGGCGAAGGCAGGUCUCUGGGCUGUUACUGACGCUGAGGAGCGAAAGCAUGGGGAGCGAACAGGAUUAGAUACCCUGGUAGUCCAUGCCGUAAACGUUGGGCACUAGGUGU
Molecule: ribosomal RNA, 738 nt
Filed under: Kocuria sp.
Lineage: Bacteria; Bacillati; Actinomycetota; Actinomycetes; Micrococcales; Micrococcaceae
Description: bacterial SSU rRNA
Rfam family: Bacterial small subunit ribosomal RNA
Source: RNAcentral